This 399-nucleotide ribosomal RNA is filed under the name uncultured bacterium. Its description in RNAcentral is "bacterial SSU rRNA". It matches the Rfam family "Bacterial small subunit ribosomal RNA", at positions 64 to 507 of the family's 1533-position model. The record is from RNAcentral.
UAGGGGGUGUAGCAAUACAUCACCGGCGGACGGGUGCGUAACGCGUGGGAAUGUACCUAUUGGUUCGGAACAACACAGGGAAACUUGUGCUAAUACCGAAUGUGCCCGUAAGGGGAAAGAUUUAUCGCCAAUGGAUCAGCCCGCGUUCGAUUAGCUAGUUGGUGAGGUAAUGGCUCACCAAGGCGACGAUCGAUAGCUGUUCUGAGAGGAAGAUCAGCCACACUGGGACUGAGACACGGCCCAGACUCCUACGGGAGGCAGCAGUUGGGAAUCUUGGACAAUGGGGGAAACCCUGAUCCAGCCAUGCCGCGUGAGUGAUGAAGGCCUUCGGGUUGUAAAACUCUUUCGCGCACGACGAUAAUGACGGUAGUGCGAGAAGAAGCUCCGGCUAACUUCGUG